Molecule: ribosomal RNA, 2764 nt
Filed under: Klebsiella pneumoniae
Lineage: Bacteria; Pseudomonadati; Pseudomonadota; Gammaproteobacteria; Enterobacterales; Enterobacteriaceae
Description: bacterial LSU rRNA
Rfam family: Bacterial large subunit ribosomal RNA
Source: RNAcentral
UCGUCACACUAUCGUUAACUGAAUACAUAGGUUAACGAGGCGAACCGGGGGAACUGAAACAUCUAAGUACCCCGAGGAAAAGAAAUCAACCGAGAUUCCCCCAGUAGCGGCGAGCGAACGGGGAGCAGCCCAGAGUCUGAAUCAGCUUGUGUGUUAGUGGAACGGUCUGGAAAGUCCGACGGUACAGGGUGAUAGUCCCGUACACCAAAAUGCACAGGCUGUGAACUCGAAGAGUAGGGCGGGACACGUGGUAUCCUGUCUGAAUAUGGGGGGACCAUCCUCCAAGGCUAAAUACUCCUGACUGACCGAUAGUGAACCAGUACCGUGAGGGAAAGGCGAAAAGAACCCCGGCGAGGGGAGUGAAAAAGAACCUGAAACCGUGUACGUACAAGCAGUGGGAGCACCUUCGGGUGUGACUGCGUACCUUUUGUAUAAUGGGUCAGCGACUUAUAUUCUGUAGCAAGGUUAACCGUAUAGGGGAGCCGCAGGGAAACCGAGUCUUAACUGGGCGUUAAGUUGCAGGGUAUAGACCCGAAACCCGGUGAUCUAGCCAUGGGCAGGUUGAAGGUUGGGUAACACUAACUGGAGGACCGAACCGACUAAUGUUGAAAAAUUAGCGGAUGACUUGUGGCUGGGGGUGAAAGGCCAAUCAAACCGGGAGAUAGCUGGUUCUCCCCGAAAGCUAUUUAGGUAGCGCCUCGUGAACUCAUCUUCGGGGGUAGAGCACUGUUUCGGCUAGGGGGUCAUCCCGACUUACCAACCCGAUGCAAACUACGAAUACCGAAGAAUGUUAUCACGGGAGACACACGGCGGGUGCUAACGUCCGUCGUGAAGAGGGAAACAACCCAGACCGCCAGCUAAGGUCCCAAAGUCAUGGUUAAGUGGGAAACGAUGUGGGAAGGCACAGACAGCCAGGAUGUUGGCUUAGAAGCAGCCAUCAUUUAAAGAAAGCGUAAUAGCUCACUGGUCGAGUCGGCCUGCGCGGAAGAUGUAACGGGGCUAAACCAUGCACCGAAGCUGCGGCAGCGACACUAUGUGUUGUUGGGUAGGGGAGCGUUCUGUAAGCCUGCGAAGGUGUGCUGUGAGGCAUGCUGGAGGUAUCAGAAGUGCGAAUGCUGACAUAAGUAACGAUAAAGCGGGUGAAAAGCCCGCUCGCCGGAAGACCAAGGGUUCCUGUCCAACGUUAAUCGGGGCAGGGUGAGUCGACCCCUAAGGCGAGGCCGAAAGGCGUAGUCGAUGGGAAACAGGUUAAUAUUCCUGUACUUGGUGUUACUGCGAAGGGGGGACGGAGAAGGCUAUGUUAGCCGGGCGACGGUUGUCCCGGUUUAAGCAUGUAGGCUGAUUAUCCAGGCAAAUCCGGAUAAUCAAGGCUGAGGUGUGAUGACGAGGCACUACGGUGCUGAAGUAACAAAUGCCCUGCUUCCAGGAAAAGCCUCUAAGCAUCAGGUAACAUUAAAUCGUACCCCAAACCGACACAGGUGGUCAGGUAGAGAAUACCAAGGCGCUUGAGAGAACUCGGGUGAAGGAACUAGGCAAAAUGGUGCCGUAACUUCGGGAGAAGGCACGCUGGUGUGUAGGUGAAGUCCCUGCGGAUGGAGCUGAGACCAGUCGAAGAUACCAGCUGGCUGCAACUGUUUAUUAAAAACACAGCACUGUGCAAACACGAAAGUGGACGUAUACGGUGUGACGCCUGCCCGGUGCCGGAAGGUUAAUUGAUGGGGUUAUCCGUAAGGAGAAGCUCUUGAUCGAAGCCCCGGUAAACGGCGGCCGUAACUAUAACGGUCCUAAGGUAGCGAAAUUCCUUGUCGGGUAAGUUCCGACCUGCACGAAUGGCGUAAUGAUGGCCAGGCUGUCUCCACCCGAGACUCAGUGAAAUUGAACUCGCUGUGAAGAUGCAGUGUACCCGCGGCAAGACGGAAAGACCCCGUGAACCUUUACUAUAGCUUGACACUGAACAUUGAGCCUUGAUGUGUAGGAUAGGUGGGAGGCUUUGAAGCGUGGACGCCAGUCUGCGUGGAGCCAACCUUGAAAUACCACCCUUUAAUGUUUGAUGUUCUAACGUUGGCCCCUGACCGGGGUUGCGGACAGUGUCUGGUGGGUAGUUUGACUGGGGCGGUCUCCUCCCAAAGCGUAACGGAGGAGCACGAAGGUUAGCUAAUCCUGGUCGGACAUCAGGAGGUUAGUGCAAUGGCAUAAGCUAGCUUGACUGCGAGCGUGACGGCGCGAGCAGGUGCGAAAGCAGGUCAUAGUGAUCCGGUGGUUCUGAAUGGAAGGGCCAUCGCUCAACGGAUAAAAGGUACUCCGGGGAUAACAGGCUGAUACCGCCCAAGAGUUCAUAUCGACGGCGGUGUUUGGCACCUCGAUGUCGGCUCAUCACAUCCUGGGGCUGAAGUAGGUCCCAAGGGUAUGGCUGUUCGCCAUUUAAAGUGGUACGCGAGCUGGGUUUAGAACGUCGUGAGACAGUUCGGUCCCUAUCUGCCGUGGGCGCUGGAGAAUUGAGGGGGGCUGCUCCUAGUACGAGAGGACCGGAGUGGACGCAUCACUGGUGUUCGGGUUGUCAUGCCAAUGGCACUGCCCGGUAGCUAAAUGCGGAAGAGAUAAGUGCUGAAAGCAUCUAAGCACGAAACUUGCCCCGAGAUGAGUUCUCCCUGAGACUUUAAGUCUCCUGAAGGAACGUUAAAGACGAUGACGUUGAUAGGCCGGGUGUGUAAGCGCAGCGAUGCGUUGAGCUAACCGGUACUAAUGAACCGUGAGGCUUAACCUU